AGUGGUAAAACUCAUGUAUCUACUCGAGUAAUGGGAACAUAUGGCUAUGCUGCCCCAGAAUAUGUGAUGACUGGACAUUUGACCUCAAAGAGUGAUGUCUACAGUUUUGGAGUAGUUUUGCUUGAAAUGCUGACUGGCCGAAGAUCUAUGGACAAAAACCGCCCAAAUGGGGAGCACAACCUUGUUGAAUGGGCAAGACCUCAUUU
RNAcentral lists this unclassified non-coding RNA (206 nucleotides) under Hevea brasiliensis (rubber tree). The record is from RNAcentral. Lineage: Eukaryota; Viridiplantae; Streptophyta; Magnoliopsida; Malpighiales; Euphorbiaceae.